This 72-nucleotide transfer RNA is filed under the name Muribaculaceae bacterium. RNAcentral describes it as "tRNA-Arg". It matches the Rfam family "tRNA". From Rfam's summary of the family: Transfer RNA (tRNA) molecules are approximately 80 nucleotides in length. Their secondary structure includes four short double-helical elements and three loops (D, anti-codon, and T loops). Further hydrogen bonds mediate the characteristic L-shaped molecular structure. tRNAs have two regions of fundamental functional importance: the anti-codon, which is responsible for specific mRNA codon recognition, and the 3' end, to which the tRNAs corresponding amino acid is attached (by aminoacyl-tRNA synthetases). tRNAs cope with the degeneracy of the genetic code in two manners: having more than one tRNA (with a specific anti-codon) for a particular amino acid; and 'wobble' base-pairing, i.e. permitting non-standard base-pairing at the 3rd anti-codon position. The record is from RNAcentral. Lineage: Bacteria; Pseudomonadati; Bacteroidota; Bacteroidia; Bacteroidales; Muribaculaceae.
GGACCUGUAGUUCAACGGAUAGAAUAGAAGUUUCCUAAACUUUAGAUAGGGGUUCGAUUCCCCUCGGGUCUA